AAGCGGUAUAGAUAAUGGAUGGAUGGAUGGUUAACAACAGAUGAAUAAUAUGCAGCAUUUUGCUUCUACAAAUCUGUCUACAACAUCCCUUUGAAAUCACAGUGUUGCAUCACUGAAUAGAACAGGCUAGGGCAGGGGGGGAUACUUGUGGUUCUUAGGGUGACCUGAUGCCCACAGGCACCAUGUUGGUGACCCCUGUCUUAAAGUGUAUCAAAAUAACUUGGAUGACCAAGAUUGUCUGUGAAUUUAAAGGUGUAUUUGCCCUGAUGGACCUUGGUUUGAUUUUGAGUCAAGAUAGAGAUUCAAAACAGGGUUAUGAAUUUUUUUUUAAUAUCCUUGGCAUGGUGAGGUGGAAACAGAUGGUUCGCUGUGGCGACCUCUGAGGGGAAAAGCCGAAAGGGAAAGAAGAAGAUUGUCAUGGAAGCAUCAUAUAGACAAUUUAUUAACACAUUUUUAUGUGCAGAAAUUGUAUGUCUCCUAUAAUAACUGCCUUGACAUCACACAUGCAAAUUGUAGCCCUUACUUGAAGGCACUACUUAAGCAAAUUAUCUUCAUUCGCAUGGUGACUCUAGAAUGCAAACCAUGAGAAUACAAAGAGACAUUUACACUCAGACAUUUAAUACUUGUUUAACUGUAUUAUUUUCAGCGGUAAUAAAAAUUAAUUGAAAUUUAAUUACGUUUUAGCGGUGUAUCAUUUCAUACUAUUACAAUACAUGAAAAAAAUAUAAAACCAUGUUUUUCUUUCUGAUUAUUUAAAAAUAAUCACGACUAAACUGACAAGAGGUUUUGAUUACAUCCAUCUUGUCAUUUUCAUAGACUAGACUUAAGGCAGCAACUCCCCACCACCGGGCCACGGGACACCUUGGACCAUGCUGGGGAAAAAAAGAAACUUUAUCGGUUUUUUUUAAUUAAAUAGGGCUGAAAAACACAUUUUAAAUAUUUUAUUUUGAAAAGUGACUGGAUUCUUUCCUUUAAAUACAUGACAUCAGUCAAGGUCAUAAAAACAAAUGUAAGUGCCAUGAGAGAUUUUUGACGUGAGAGCAACAUACUUGGUGUCUAAGCUAAAAAGUCAUUCAAUAUCUGUGCGCAAAAAUAAACUGUGGAUUCGUGUUUAUUGUAAUA
This is a long non-coding RNA of Syngnathus acus (greater pipefish), 1122 nucleotides long. RefSeq lists it as uncharacterized. The transcript has 2 exons. The record is from RefSeq and is a predicted model, not a curated record. NCBI's taxonomy places the organism in Eukaryota, Metazoa, Chordata, Actinopteri, Syngnathiformes, Syngnathidae.